UUUUCCCGGUCACUGGGCAUGCAAGAGGGUAUUGCUAGGUAGUAUAUUCAACAGUAAACCUUAAUCUUCUGUAACAUGGAGGUGGUUGUGAAAGAAGAAGUGCCAUCCUUAAUCUUUUCUGCUUAUUUCAAUAUAUACCUUUAUUACUGUGCUGUUUAAGAAUGACCAGUUAAACAAUUCAAGUCUGUAAUUAUUGAUACAGUUCAAGGGAAUGGAAAGAAUUCGCCUGAUAGGAGACCAAACAAACGUAGCUGCUGUAUCUGCUAUGGAACGCAGGUCGACUCUUUUCUGUAUAGAUGUGGGCAUAUGUGCACCUGUCUCAAAUGCGCCCAUGGGCUGCGGCAGGGCAGUGGAAAAUGUCCAAUUUGUCGAGCUCCAGUAUUGGAUGUCGUGCGAGCAUACCUGGAUUCAUAGUGAACUGGUGAACGAGUUCUUGCUCUAGAGGACCGUCUUUUUCAUAUAACUUAACGCAUUUGAUGCUGACUUUGGAAAAAGGCAAAUCUUUUUACUUUGCUUCUUUCACCUCUUUGGAUCAAUAUAACCAUCUAAUCUUGGUAGUCACAAGUAAUAUCUGAUCGUUACUGUCUCUCAUCUUCAAAUUUACGCUGUAAAUGCUUUUGAGUAGUAAAAUUUAACAGUCUCGGUAGGCUGUUGUUUAAUUUACAAA
Long non-coding RNA from Populus euphratica (Euphrates poplar), 667 nucleotides. RefSeq lists it as uncharacterized. The transcript has 2 exons. The record is from RefSeq and is a predicted model, not a curated record. Lineage: Eukaryota; Viridiplantae; Streptophyta; Magnoliopsida; Malpighiales; Salicaceae.